Molecule: long non-coding RNA, 444 nt
Filed under: Oryza brachyantha (malo sina)
Lineage: Eukaryota; Viridiplantae; Streptophyta; Magnoliopsida; Poales; Poaceae
Description: long non-coding RNA (OBRA_LNC002769)
Source: RNAcentral
GUGGUGGUCGGCCGUCGGCUAGCAAAGCAACGGCAGUAGUACUAUACGAGUAGUAGUGGUGAUGGGACCCACUGUUUGGCAAGUCUUCAGGGUGAGGCAAAGGCUGGCCAAAUAUAGCCAGAGAGGGAGCCGGUUUGGCCAGCGUUGAAUGGCUAAAAUUUAACUUAGAGAGGCUAACAGAGAGGCUUUUGGAGAUGCUAUUAGUAAACCAUUGACCCUAUGUAUACUGCCUCCGCCCCUGCUAGGAAAUAUAAUUAAAGAACAGUUAUGUUCUUUGACGACGAAUUAAGCUGCAGGUCUCCUUAUAGUAUAGCAGCCAAGAAGGAAAUUGAUUCAUUAUUCGUGAUGUUACCGAAUAGUACAAUUAACUAGUAUUACUUUGACUCGAAACGAUUCAAAUUGUAGUGUUUCAGCUCAACAUAAUGCAUGCUUUGUAGUCCGUAA